AGCAGUAGCCGCGGUAAUACAGAGGGUGCAAGCGUUAAUCGGAAUUACUGGGCGUAAAGCGCGCGUGGGUGGUUUGUUAAGUUGGAUGUGAAAUCCCCGGGCUCAACCUGGGAACUGCAUCCAAAACUGGCAGGCUAGAGUAGGGCAGAGGGUGGUGGAAUUUCCUGUGUAGCGGUGAAAUGCGUAGAUAUAGGAAGGAACACCAGUGGCGAAGGCGACCACCUGGGCUCAUACUGACACUGAGGUGCGAAAGCGUGGGGAGCAAACAGGAUUAGAUACCCGCGUAGUCCCUGUCUCUUAUAC
Molecule: ribosomal RNA, 303 nt
Filed under: uncultured bacterium
Lineage: Bacteria
Description: partial 16S ribosomal RNA
Rfam family: Bacterial small subunit ribosomal RNA
Source: RNAcentral